GACGAACGCUGGCGGCGUGCCUAAUACAUGCAAGUUGAGCGAUGAAGAUUGGUGCUUGCACCAAUUUGAAGAGCAGCGAACGGGUGAGUAACGCGUGGGGAAUCUGCCUUUGAGCGGGGGACAACAUUUGGAAACGAAUGCUAAUACCGCAUAACAACUUUAAACAUAAGUUUUAAGUUUGAAAGAUGCAAUUGCAUCACUCAAAGAUGAUCCCGCGUUGUAUUAGCUAGUUGGUGAGGUAAAGGCUCACCAAGGCGAUGAUACAUAGCCGACCUGAGAGGGUGGUCGGCCACAUUGGGACUGGGGAACGGGCCAAACUCCUUCGGGAGGGAGCAGGAGGGGAUCUUCCGCAAAGGGAGGAAGGCUGAACGAGCAACGCCGCGUGAGUGAAGGAGGGUUUCGGGUCGGAAAACUCCGUUGGUUGAGAAGGACGUUGGUGAGGGUGGAAAGCUCAUUAAGUGACGGUAACUAACCAGAAAGGGACGGCUAACUACGUG
This 497-nucleotide ribosomal RNA is filed under the name uncultured bacterium. RNAcentral's name for it is "partial 16S ribosomal RNA". It matches the Rfam family "Bacterial small subunit ribosomal RNA", at positions 28 to 507 of the family's 1533-position model. The record is from RNAcentral.